GNUUNAUUCGAUGAUACGCGAGGNACCUUACCAGGGCUUGAAAGUUAGUGAAGAANGNGGAAACAUGUUCGUCAGCAAUGACACGAAACUAGGNGCNGNAUGGCUGUCGUCAGCUCGUGCCGUGAGGUGUUGGGUUAAGUCCCGCAACGAGCGCAACCCCCAUCUUUAGUUGCUAGCAGGUAAUGCUGAGGACUCUAAAGAAACUGCCUACGCAAGUAGCGAGGAAGGCGGGGACGACGUCAAGUCAUCACGGCCCUUACGUCCUGGGCCACACACGUGCUACAAUGGUAGGUACAGAGGGCAGCUACCGGGUGACCGGAUGCGAAUCUCUAAAGCCUAUCUCAGUUCGGAUUGGAGUCUGCAACUCGACUCUAUGAAGCUGGAAUCGCUAGUAAUCGCGCAUCAGCCAUGGCGCGGUGAAUACGNUUCCCGGGCCUUGUACACACCNNNNCNNUCAAACAAUGGAAGCUGGGGGUGCCUGAAGUCGGUAACCGCAAGG
Molecule: ribosomal RNA, 499 nt
Filed under: uncultured bacterium
Lineage: Bacteria
Description: partial 16S ribosomal RNA
Rfam family: Bacterial small subunit ribosomal RNA
Source: RNAcentral